UUGUAUAUAAAGCCAUGUAUAUGACAUUCAAAAAUAUGAAUGAAAUUAUUCAAGUUUCUUACUCUUUCCACAGUUAUGAUGGUAAAUAUGGAUACUCUUUUCUCUUCAGUUCCAACAAAGAAGACACCUUCACAUUUUUAUCAGAUCUGACAAAUUCUCAAGCUGUCAAAAAUGUGGUUAACUGGGACAAAGAAACUGAGAAUCAUUUCCUGUCUUGUAGUGCAGGCAAUGAAAUAAUUGAAAAAGAGGAAACAGCAUAUUGACCAACCAACCUCAUCUGGCUUCUUUGCAGCUAUCAGUGCAUUUGUAAGACCACGUAGAACUUCAAAAUCAAUAGUUCCGG
This 343-nucleotide long non-coding RNA is filed under the name Nicotiana tabacum (common tobacco). RNAcentral's name for it is "long non-coding RNA (NTAB_LNC002538)". Lineage: Eukaryota; Viridiplantae; Streptophyta; Magnoliopsida; Solanales; Solanaceae. The record is from RNAcentral.